Molecule: ribosomal RNA, 462 nt
Filed under: uncultured bacterium
Lineage: Bacteria
Description: partial 16S ribosomal RNA
Rfam family: Bacterial small subunit ribosomal RNA
Source: RNAcentral
AAUGAACGUUGGCGGCAUGGAUUAGGCAUGCAAGUCGGGGGAAUCCCAGCAACGGGGGAACCGGCGUAAGGGGCAGUAAGGCAUGGGUACCUACCUUGGGGUUCGGGAUAGCCAUCAGAGAUGGUGGGUAAUACCGGAUGACGUCGUGAGACCAAAGAUUCAUCGCCCUUAGAGGGGCCCAUGUGAUAUUAGCUAGUUGGUGGGGUAACGGCCCACCAAGGCGAAGAUGUCUAGCGGGUGUGAGAGCACGACCCGCGCCACUCGCACUGAGACACUGGCGAGACACCUACGGGUGGCUGCAGUCGAGGAUCUUCGGCAAUGAGCGCAAGCUUGACCGAGCGAUGCCGCGUGAGCGAUGAAGGCCUUCGGGUUGUAAAGCUCUUUAGUGGGGGAGAAAGGCCGCAAGGUGUGAUCUAUCCCAAAAAUAAGCACGGGCUAAGUUCGUGCCAGCCGCCGCGGUAA